Macaca nemestrina (pig-tailed macaque) is the source of this 134-nucleotide small nucleolar RNA. Its record names the gene U8. It matches the Rfam family "U8 small nucleolar RNA". From Rfam's summary of the family: U8 is a member of the C/D class of snoRNA which contain the C (UGAUGA) and D (CUGA) box motifs. U8 is the RNA component of a small complex (the U8 snoRNP) which is required for accumulation of mature large subunit ribosomal RNAs, 5.8S and 28S rRNAs. Lineage: Eukaryota; Metazoa; Chordata; Mammalia; Primates; Cercopithecidae. The record is from Ensembl.
AAAUUAGUGGGAUAAUCCUUACCUGUUCCUCGUUUUGGAGGACAGGUAGAACAUAAUAACUGGAGUUUGCAUGAUCCGUGAUUAAUGUCUCUGUGUAACCGGGACUUGCAAACUCUUGAUUGUUCGUAUCUGAU